GGGAUGCUCUGUGCCCCCAUCUCCGCCUUAGGGAAGCGCUCGGCCCGCCGGGGCAGCUCCAGCCCCUCUCAGAGGGGGCAUGGGAAGGAAAGAAGGGGUACGAGCUUCUUCUGUAGGAAGAAAAUGUUUUAAAAAGUUUGACUCCAACAUUCUGCCAAGCCUUGAAACAGAGGAAAUAUCUGGACAACAUGAAUUUGGGAUGAUUUGGUGGCUCUGAUCUGCAGCAACUUUUCAGUCACACAGCUACAGAAAAUGAGGCAAAUCACAAGGCUGUGACAUUCCAGUUUAAUUCUACAGUGAGUACAUACUUCCACCCAUGUAAUCCUGAAACUGUUACCUUGA
RNAcentral lists this long non-coding RNA (342 nucleotides) under Anas platyrhynchos platyrhynchos (common mallard). RNAcentral's name for it is "lncRNA (ENSAPLG00000029532.1)". Lineage: Eukaryota; Metazoa; Chordata; Aves; Anseriformes; Anatidae. The record is from RNAcentral.